AGCAAGAGCAGCAUCUGCAGCAGGGAGACAGCGAUGACGCCAGUGAAGCAGAGGAACCUUCCAGGUCUUCGUCUUGGCCAAGAAGGGAAUUGGGAGCACAGUCUUCCACAGAGACAACAGCUACUCAUCCAAGCCGAGGGCCUCCAGCUGCCGACUCAGAGCGAGGUCUGAAAACAUCCCACCGUCACGACAGAGCCUAGAGGUGCACUAAUCUUCACCAUCAGCCCUGACAACGGCCAACAACGAGAGCUGCGCUGCUCUGGACGCUGGCGGAACCAACAGCCGCAGCGUGCUUAUUCUGCCUGUGAGGCUGUCACGCUCAGUGACAUUUGGGCCUCCGCUCCCCCUGCCUGACACAAGAGUGAAUGUCUGAUGUCCGAAUGACAUUUGUGCUGUGGCGUGCUACGUCACCCUCUGCCUACAUGCAGGUGCAUGGGUCUCCAUGCAACACUUCAGAACUUCACUCAAAACUCUGUUUACAGGUCAUGGGCUGGGUAUUAAGGGCAGUGAUUGGGCAAACAGUGAACUUGUCAAAAGAGUCCCGCCCCACAAUAGGGACCUGUUCAUCACUUGCAACUGGCCACCUGAUUGGUGAGGAUUUUGGGCUGAUGUUAAACGGUGAUAUCUACAUUUGAUUUGUUUUGCGUCACAAAGCUAGAUAAUGCAACAACAACAAUUAUAUAUGUGCAUCUGUAAUAUUAUAAUAAUAAUAGCCAGGCAUGUGUAAUAUGAUGAUAAUAUAUGCGCACGUGUAAUAUAAUAAUCAUAUCCCAGUUCAGUGUUUGUGUUACAACCGACCCCAGUUCAGUUGAUUGGAACUAUUAGUGCUGCCUUAAGCACUGGAGAGAGACCAGCAUGUCACAAUACUCAGAAAACUCUAUGCUCCACCACUGCUGGUUUUUCUUAUCCCGUUUUCCCUUCAGCAGCAGUUAAUUAACCUCAGGAGCCCUGAUGUCUUCAGCAGUGUCACUGAAGCAGCAUAUCUCUAUGCUGCGCAUGUGUGCGUACAUUUGCGCAUCCCUUCAAAAUAUUACCGGGUUGUGGUCUGUGCGACACUGGCUCGGUGUGCUGUUGGGUCAGGAUGGUUGAGGCGUGGGUGUGCAAUCAGCUCAGGUGGUGCUGUUCGAAAGGGCCGUGUCUGUGAGACAGUGGGAGUGGAAUCCCCAUAGAAACAGACAGCAGACACAGACGGCGCUUCCUGUAUUGGGCCGGCGGUGUUCAGGCCCCUGCCGGUCCCACAGCCCUACUCUUCUUCCUCUUUCUCCUCUUCCUCCCGAUCUGGUCAAUCUUGCUGCUGUCUCUGUUCUACAGUACCAGUACUGAUGCACAUGCACACAACACGCAUGAAUGCAGAUACUUAGCUGUGUCCAAAGAUAUAAAUUGUUCCUAUUUUAAGCAGAUUCCUCCCAACAACAGGAUCCCCAAGUCUACACAGUGGGGGUGGUUUAUCUGUUGCGGUAUCCAUGGCAACAUCCCUAGUGGGUUGUUUGCUGGAUGAUAGGAAUAGAGCCCCAUGGCCAGGAUGACCUUUUCACGCCCCUGGCUGUGCACCACUAGGGGGAAGCCCCACCCUCUUCUGCACCACACAGGUCAGGGAAGAAUGUUCCCUCAGUGUUAUGGCAGUAACAGUACUGACAUGAGUAGUAAGAGCAGGGGAGAUGGUGUUGUUGGUAGGGGAGAUGAUGGUGUGGUAUUACUGUUUGUAGGGAAGGUAAUGUAGCAGUAACCGCACUAGAGGUCAUUCUGUUAGAAAGGUUUUGAGACACUCGAGAGACGUGAUAACUACACACACACAGUCGUGUGCGCACACUCUCUCUUUCUCACAUACUGUAAAUACUCAUGGAUGCAUGCACACUUACUCUCACACAAGAACACACAAACAUGCAGGCACGCACACAUACAUACACACACUCUCACUUUUACAAACAUAUACUUAUAAAGACAUGCACACACUCACACACGUGCCCAUAUAUUCACUCACACGCAUACAUAUUCUACCACUCUCUCUCUCAGACACACACACACUUCAUUUAGACUCAAGUGGCAGCGCUUCAGAUGACAAACCUUCUCGCUCUUUGACUAAUUCUGUUGUACAUUCACUUUAUGUAAGACAACAUCUCAUUGUUCCUGUGCAGGGCCACAGUUCAACGCCAUGUUCAAUAAACCCUCAAUAAUGGCCAAAUUGAAUUUGAGGGCACUGAACUACAUACACUGCACAGGCUUGUCGUCUGAAUAUUAAAUAUGAGAAACAAACAUCCUCAAUGUUUCUGUUCUUACUGAAAUUUUGCUGGAUACACACACACACUCACACACACAAAAGAAUGAAGACACACAAAAACACACACAGGAAGUGAGUGGUGGCAGUUAGUGUAGCUUAAGUAAACUGGUGUUACUGAUUUAAUACCUGUUUUUUAAUGGCUGUAAUGGUACGAAUGUUUUCUUAUUGACAUAGUACUAAUAAAGCACAGGAAAGCUGGUAAGCUGCACAGUAUCAGUGGAACAUGCUAGUAUCUUUCAUGAGGAGUGAUGAUAUUUAAUAUGUGCGAUAAUUGUUCAAAUCCAUCCACCUGCCUGUCCCACACACACACCACCACUCCUCUACUGGCUCACUGGUCUUAUGACCGCCCUCCAGUUUUCAUUUUCCCUCCUCCUCUCCUCCAUCUGUCUCCAUAUAAUUUUUUCUUUCUUUCUUCCUUGUCUUUAUUGCCUCCUUUUCUCCUCCUCCAUCUCUCCUCCUACCAUCAUCCCCUCUUUGACUCUCCCUCAUCUUUUUCUGUCCUCUACUUUUAGGUCUGUGGCCUGUCUGGUGCAAGGAGGUUACAGAUUUAUACUGAGGAAGUGGGCACAGCUACUG
Molecule: RNA transcript, 2854 nt
Organism: Anguilla rostrata (American eel)
Lineage: Eukaryota; Metazoa; Chordata; Actinopteri; Anguilliformes; Anguillidae
Gene name: neuropeptides B/W receptor type 2-like
Exons: 2
Source: RefSeq, a predicted model, not a curated record